UACGUAGGUGGCAAGCGUUGUCCGGAUUUAUUGGGUUUAAAGGGUGCGUAGGCGGUUUAUUAAGUCAGUGGUGAAAGACGGCAGCUCAACUGUCGAGGUGCCAUUGAUACUGAUGAACUUGAGUACAGUCGAAGUAGGCGGAAUGGACGGUGUAGCGGUGAAAUGCAUAGAUAUCGUCCAGAACACCGAUAGUGAAGACAGCUUACUAGGCUGUAACUGACGCUGAGGCACGAAAGCGUGGGGAGCAAACGGG
This 253-nucleotide ribosomal RNA is filed under the name uncultured bacterium. RNAcentral describes it as "partial 16S ribosomal RNA". It matches the Rfam family "Bacterial small subunit ribosomal RNA", at positions 524 to 776 of the family's 1533-position model. The record is from RNAcentral.